Long non-coding RNA from Panthera uncia (snow leopard), 1527 nucleotides. RefSeq lists it as uncharacterized. NCBI's taxonomy places the organism in Eukaryota, Metazoa, Chordata, Mammalia, Carnivora, Felidae. The record is from RefSeq and is a predicted model, not a curated record. The transcript has 2 exons.
CGGGGGCCGGCGCGGCUCCCGCUCCACACGCGCCUGGGAUACUGCCCUGGGUCGCCCUUCAGGGAUGCGUCUCCGGCAAGGUGUAGGCCACGGCCCCUAAAGCGGCCCAUCACCCCCGUGCAAACAGGCACCCUUUAUGCGGGCGGGAGCCCACUCCGAGCUCGCGGAGACGCCCGGAGGCGCCACCACGGAAAGGGGCGUGCGGCGACGGCGGAAGACAGCUGCAGGUGGGCGGGGAUGUGACACCUGGCCCAGGUGCGUCGCCGGGAAUGCGGGGCCGCGUCGCUCGGCGCCUUCCGGAGUCCUAUUCCUCCGGCCUCUCGAAUCCCUGGAAUGUCUCUGGAUACGGGCCUCAGCCCUCACCCCCGCGGAGACCCGCCCCUCACGCCUGGUCCAUCCCAACCGGCUGCGUUCUCCGCGUCCGCCAUCGGAGGGAGCCAUCGGCCGCUGGUCCGGAAGAGCCCUGGCUGCGCCGGCCACCGUCGGUCCGCAAGGUCCUCCUGCCGCCUUCCAGCCUCCCUGCAAGGUGUCGUCCCCUCUAACAGACAUGACAGGACUUGUGAACCUCCGGGAGAUGGGACCUCCUCCCCUCCUCACUCUUUACAGUUACCAUCAACUGUAGCACCACCUGGUAACGUUUCCUCAUCUAUAAAACGGGGACUAAAUAGAGCCCUGCCUGCAUGAGGUUGCUGCGAGAGGGUUGGAUGAACUGACCGACACUCGAAAACAAUGCCGAAAUGUUCAGUAAGUUAUUUGCACGUCGUGCUACCUUAUAUAUGCAUAAGCACUCUGUGAGGUAAGUACUUCUUAGGGAAGCUGAAGCUGGGAGAGCUUUCGUAAUCACUUGCUUAACUUUGACAUAGUCCUUUGUGGCUACACCGUCAUUUGAGCCUCAGAAAAUGAACAGUGCUUUUAGGGUCACUGGCCUUUGGCUAUAGAUUCUCUGCAACAUGUCCCUAGGAGAGGAACCGGCUUAAAGCAGCCCAAAGGUUGGCUUUGCCAGGGAGAGGUCUCAUGAGCAACUGAACUGUGGCAUCUUCAGUGGUCAUCGCUGCUAACCAUAACAGAGUUUGGCUCGUGGGUCUCUCCAGCACCAUCCUGUCGCAGUUUUUGAUGAUUUCAAUAUCCGUACUGAUGAGACUUCCAAUAUCCGGGCGUGGCAGUUGCUUGAACACAGAUCUGCAUAGAUCUCACGCUCCACGAUACCCAGUGGCUGUGCCCAGAUGUUGUCCUUGCCGCUCCUCAGCACCAUCUCACUUCCCAAUUCGGCGAGAAAACAGAAGCCACCAAGAGACUAAAAGCUCCUAAUUCACCACCACGCUCCGCUGUGCCCUCCUCCUGUCAGUAGUGAUGAACUGAUGAUCAUGCUCCCAGCUAAGGUCAACCCGCCACUACAUCCCAUUUAAUCGUCUUGUUUUCUCUUUUCAUUGGCUCAUUCCCACAGAUAUACAAAUAUGCUUUUGUUUCCCCGUCUUGUCUUAAAAAGGAAAAAAAAAUCUUUUUUGAAUACACUGUACUCCCCCAUUA